Tympanuchus pallidicinctus (lesser prairie-chicken) is the source of this 342-nucleotide long non-coding RNA. RefSeq lists it as uncharacterized. The transcript has 3 exons. The record is from RefSeq and is a predicted model, not a curated record. Lineage: Eukaryota; Metazoa; Chordata; Aves; Galliformes; Phasianidae.
UUGUUCUAGGUACCAAAGGCACGUAAAAAGAGAUGCUCUUCACACAAGUACUUUGCAUGCUGUCAUACAUAGACAUCAGAGAAAGAACGGCUAGGACUGGAAUGAUCCGGAGACAAGCAACUGCCCCCUGAAACAGUUAAAAUACAAAUCAUUUGUUCAGUUGUACAAGUCUUGACAGAACCCAAAAGCAUGUAGAGGUGGAGAAACUGAAGCAUAGAGGGAAGAAACACUGUGUUUAUAUGGCAUGCCACUGACAGAGGGGAUUGCAAAUGUUGUUGCCUGGACACCAUGCUAUCUUAGACUGAAGGAGCUCUCAUCAGUUUCUAAAUCAGUGCAUUACAG